AGGAAACGGCUUAGGGGAGCAGCAAAGGAACCAGGAAGUAAGAUCUCCUGGUAAAGUGUUCAUUAACUUUCAACAGCCAUCAGAUUUUUGAAAGGGAGUCUCUUCUAAUUGCCUUUGGGAGGAAACAUUAUUAAGAUAAUUGGCAUGCUGAUCUGGGAAGAUAAAAGUUUCCUUCGCCCGGGAGUCGGUUGUUCCCGGCUGAUCCCGGGAAGCCCCGCCUGAGCCCCGGUCCGGGGCGGGCAGCUGGGAGCCGGGGCGCCGCUGUCACCCGCGCCUCUGCCUGUCACUUACCGUUGCGAAAAGCGCCGGCCGGGGCGAGGACGAGGGCGAGCACGGCGCAGAGGAGCGGCAGCCCCCUCUCCAUUCUCCCUUCUCCGGGUCCGCAGGCAGACGCGGGAGAACGAGGACGUGGGGGGAAAUGCAGCAAAGAGGAGAAUCUAAGCGAUCCGAAGAGCCCCAACUCCGCCUAGAGCUGUACAAUCCUCAGCCCGUCUUGGAGAAAAGAAAGCAGCGAGGCAAUGCCUGGAUCCGAGAGGAACGCUUCUCUUUUUGUGUCUCAAGUCGCCUGCAUCCUGUCAUUUAGCUCCGGCUUCCUCUCCCUUUUCCCACACUUGUUCCUCUUCCAGGAGCCACUGCCCGGGCCAUGUC
This 648-nucleotide long non-coding RNA is filed under the name Homo sapiens (human). RNAcentral's name for it is "LHRI_LNC1719.2". The record is from RNAcentral. Lineage: Eukaryota; Metazoa; Chordata; Mammalia; Primates; Hominidae.